This 301-nucleotide ribosomal RNA is filed under the name uncultured bacterium. RNAcentral's name for it is "partial 16S ribosomal RNA". It matches the Rfam family "Bacterial small subunit ribosomal RNA", at positions 509 to 807 of the family's 1533-position model. The record is from RNAcentral.
CAGCAGCCGCGGUAAUACGAGGGGUGCAAGCGUUAUUCGGAUUGAUUGGGUGUAAAGGGUGUGCAGACAGCUUAUUAAGUCACUUGUUAAAUUCUUCGGCCUAACUGAAGGUCUGCAAGUGAUACUGAUGAGCUAGAGGGUGGAAGAGAGAAGUGGAAUUCUCGGAGUAGCGGUAAAAUGCGUAGAUCUCGAGAGGAACACCAAUGGCGAAGGCAGCUUCUUGGUCCAUCCCUGACGUUCAUACACGAAAGCGUGGGGAGCAAACAGGAUUAGAUACCCCGGUAGUCCCUGUCUCUUAUAC